Molecule: non-coding RNA, 733 nt
Organism: Biomphalaria pfeifferi
Lineage: Eukaryota; Metazoa; Mollusca; Gastropoda; Planorbidae
Source: the annotation of a GenBank genome assembly
UUUGUCAAAAUAAAGCUGAAUUUAUUAAUUUUAAAUAACAAUGAUCAUAAUUAUAUAAACCAUAGGUCAUCAAGUCCACCCAAUCAGAUCCCAAAGACAAUAACAAAAACACCAACAAAUCACAGAAAUAUAUUUCACAUGUGCACAAAGAGAUUAGCUAAAAGACCCUAACUAAACAAAGUGAAUCUAAAAUGAAGUCAACGGCAGCAUUCACAAAACAUUUUCUGGACAACACACAAACACGUUGGGAAAAAAAAAAGUGGAACCAAACUUUUUUUUAAAUUUUGAAGGAACAUUUGAACAUGUGAUAGUAACAUCUCUAAUUUCUAAACACAGCCAAAAAUUUGAACAUGUGAUAGUUACAUCUCUAAUUUCUAAAACACAGCCGAUAUUGUCUAGGUAUAUAUAUCUCUAUUUUUGAGACCUAAAUAUUCAUCUAAUAGCCAAAUGUACAAACAAUCUAGUUCUAUAAAUAAGAAGAACACAUUUGUUUCCUGUGUAGUUCAGAGUUCAUGCUUUCUAAAGUAACUCAAUGAGUGUAACCAUGCUCAACAGAACUUAGUGUGAAGCCCUCUGAUAUUAUGUUGGACAAGAUUGCAGAAACCUAAGAAUUUUUCUUCAUUAGGCAUCAAGUUCAGCUGUAACAAAUACAUCUCCUUUUGUCCGUGAACAUUUUGAUAUUUGUGAAAAUGAUCUUGAUCGUGAUAAAUCAUGACACUCAGGAGUUCAAGAA